UUUUUUUUUUCUAUUUUUGUUGUUGUUAAUAAUAAAAUCAUGCUUAUUUUAAAAUGUAAAUAAUAUAUGAGUCUGAAAAGCAAAAAUCAAAGAAUCUUCCCUCACUUUACCCAUGCAAUUACCCAGGAAUAACUAAAUUAGCACUGUUAAAAAUUCGGUCUUCAUCUGUCUAGAUCUUUUUCCUAAAGUUUACUUAUCUAAGUAAUCUCUACACCCAACAUGUGGCUCAAACUCACAACCAGCAGUCACAUUUUUAAAUUGUUUAAUCUUUCUCUUCGAAUAAUACCAAAUAAUAAGGAGCAAGAAAGGGACACCUGGGUGGCUCAGUCGGUUAAGUGUCUGCCUUCAGCUCAGGUCAUGAUCUCAGGAUCCUGGGAUAAGCCCCAGGUUGGGCUCCCUGUGGAGCCUGCUUCUGUCCCUGCCCCUCUUCCCUGCUCCUGCACUCGUGCUCUCUCUCUCUCUCUCUUGCUCUCUCUCUCUCCUCUCUUGCUCUCUGUCUCAAAUCAGUAAACAAAAUCUUCUAAAAAAUAAAUAAUAAGUAAGAAUUGGUGGACAUGUAUAUGCAUAGCCUUCCAUUCAAGGGUUCUUUAUCUUUCCACCUCCCCUCCAGGAUUCAGAGGGAGUUUAGGGGACUGUCUGUAGACUGAAUGAUCAGGCUGUUUGUUAUUCAGGUUGAAAGCCCCCAAGAUUGCUGCCUAUUAAAUGUGAGUUGACCCUGCAGGAAGCCAUCCACCAUUUGUUGAUGCACUUUCAUCCCCGCCACAGGAUCCACAGGAAAGAGCAGUGAUUGAGGGUUCUGGGAACCCAAAACAGGCCACCAAUCCCAGCUUCCCAGGGACUGAACUGGUAGACUUCUCUCAAGGGAAGAAGAUUGACUGAGACCAGUCUUCUAUGAUACUGCUUUUCUCAGGAAAAUUAUCAUAUCAUCAUCAUAGGUAACAUUUGACAAACACUUCCUUCAGGCCAGGAACUUUAUAUAUACCUUUUAAUCUCAUAAUCCCAUGAAGAUGCUAAUAUUUACCCCAUUUUACUGACAAGAAAAAAACAAGUUUCAAGAGUUCAAGUAACUUGCGUAAACUCACGCUAUGAGUAAAUAGCAGAUUAGAGCUUGAAUCCACUGAUGGCAAAGCCCUAGUUCUAAAUCACCACCUCACUGUAGCACACUACCUCUCAGUACCACUGAUCUCAGAAAAGGAAGAAGCACAAGAGUGCACAACCAACUCCUUUUUUCAGACUAUUUCACCAGAAGGAAGUCCUCAUUUGCAUAAUGGUAUUUUCCUCCAUGGACAGAGUAGGGACAAUAUUUCUCAUUCCUACUAGAGAUUUUGAACCCGUCUACACCUGGUUUAGACUGUAGUUCUGUGACAUAAAGUCUUGGAAUACCAUGGAGUGUUUUUGUUUCUUGUUUGUUUAAGGGAAUUACUGUCUUACUAAAUAACUUGUGAGGUUUUCUUGAGCUGCUCAUUUUUUUAAAAAUUUUUAUUUAUUUAUGAUAGUCACACAGAGAGUCACCCAGGGAUCCCAUGAGCUGCUCAUUAAUCAGCCAGUUAUUCAUGAAUUCAUUCAACAAGUGUCUUUGAUAUGCCAAGCACUGGGGAUAAAAAGAGGAACAACGACGUCUGAGUGGCUCAGUGGUUGGGCACCUGCCUUUGGCUCAGGGCGUGAUCGUGGAUUCUUGGGUUCAAGUCCCACAUUGGGCUCCUUGCAUGGAGCCUGCUUCUCCCUCUGCCUGUGUCUCUGCCUCUCUCUCUCUCUCAUAUGAAUAAAAAAUAAAUAAAAAAAAAUAAAAAAUCUUUAACUAACUAAAUAAAUAAAUAAAAGAACAAAAAAGAUAAUAUUUUUACUCUCCAAAACUGACAGCCUGUCGAAGGAGACAGUUGUCCAACAAUUACAAUAAAGUGUGAUGAAUCUCUGAUGGUAGAACUCUAUAACGACACAUAACCUAGUCUGGAAAAGCUUCCUGAAAGCUUCCUGAAAGAUGACUUUUGGGCUAAAACUAGGCUGCCAACAAACAUAAGAAAGUGUUAUGGGAGGCAGGACAAAGCUAGUGUCAUUUCUUUAGUCAGCAAAACCUAUGAAGUAGGGCAUAGAUAUGGGGCCAGAUCUCAACAAGAUAAACCCUGGUAGCAGAAAACAUCCUAAAACAUACAUAACAAGAGAGAGUGGCUUUAUGAAAAGAGUGUAAAAUUGAACAUAGCUGCUAUGGUAGGCCACUGUUUUGAUUUUUGACCUUCAGGAAAUGGGCUACUUGAAACACACAAAGCCUAGCUUUCCAAGGAAAUGGAUUUGCCUCUAACA
This 2298-nucleotide long non-coding RNA is filed under the name Canis lupus familiaris (dog). Its description in RNAcentral is "lncRNA (ENSCAFG00845000967.1)". Lineage: Eukaryota; Metazoa; Chordata; Mammalia; Carnivora; Canidae. The record is from RNAcentral.